GAGUGCCUUCGGGAGCCCGAAGACAGGUGCUGCAUGGCUGCGUCAGCUCGUGUCGUGAGAUGUUGGGUUAAGUCCCGCAACGAGCGCAACCCCUAUCUCUAGUUGCCAGCGAUUCGGUCGGGGACUCUAGAGAUACUGCCCCGGUUAACGGGAGGAAGUGGGGAUGACGUCAAGUCCUCAUGGCCCUUAUGCCCAGGGCUACACACGUGCUACAAUGGGCGGUACAAAGGGUAGCGAUGCCGCGAGGCGAAGCCAAUCCCAAAAAGCCGUCCUCAGUUCGGAUUGGAGUCUGCAACUCGACUCCAUGAAGCCGGAAUCGCUAGUAAUCGCGGAUCAGCAUGCCCGCGGUUCCGAAUACGUUCCGGGCCUU
RNAcentral lists this ribosomal RNA (370 nucleotides) under uncultured Desulfobacterium sp. Its description in RNAcentral is "bacterial SSU rRNA". It matches the Rfam family "Bacterial small subunit ribosomal RNA", at positions 1012 to 1382 of the family's 1533-position model. Lineage: Bacteria; Pseudomonadati; Thermodesulfobacteriota; Desulfobacteria; Desulfobacterales; Desulfobacteriaceae. The record is from RNAcentral.